AGUGAACGCUGGCGAUAGGCCUAACACAUGCAAGUCGAACGGCAGCACAGUAAGAGCUUGCUCUUACGGGUGGCGAGUGGCGGACGGGUGAGGAAUACAUCGGAAUCUACUUUUUCGUGGGGGAUAACGUAGGGAAACUUACGCUAAUACCGCAUACGACCUAUGGGUGAAAGCAGGGAAUCUUCGGACCUUGCGCGAUUGAAUUAGCCGAUAUCGGAUUAGCUAGUUGGCGGGGUAAAGGCCCACCAAGGCGACGAUCCGUAGCUGGUCUGAGAGGAUGAUCAGCCACACUGGAACUGAGACACGGUCCAGACUCCUACGGGAGGCAGCAGUGGGGAAUAUUGGACAAUGGGCGCAAGCCUGAUCCAGCCAUACCGCGUGGGUGAAGAAGGCCUUCGGGUUGUAAAGCCCUUUUGUUGGGAAAGAAAAGCAGCAGGUUAAUACCCCGCUGUUCUGACGGUACCCAAAGAAUAAGCACCGGCUAACUUCGUG
RNAcentral lists this ribosomal RNA (492 nucleotides) under uncultured bacterium. RNAcentral describes it as "partial 16S ribosomal RNA". It matches the Rfam family "Bacterial small subunit ribosomal RNA", at positions 29 to 507 of the family's 1533-position model. The record is from RNAcentral.